Molecule: ribosomal RNA, 460 nt
Filed under: uncultured bacterium
Lineage: Bacteria
Description: partial 16S ribosomal RNA
Rfam family: Bacterial small subunit ribosomal RNA
Source: RNAcentral
ACUACGGGAGGCAGCAGUGAGGAAUAUUGGUCAAUGGGCGGAAGCCUGAACCAGCCAAGUAGCGUGCAGGAUGACGGCCCUACGGGUUGUAAACUGCUUUUAUACGGGAAUAACGCGCCUUACGUGUAGGGCUUUGCAUGUACCGUAUGAAUAAGGACCGGCUAAUUCCGUGCCAGCAGCCGCGGUAAUACGGAGGGUCCGGGCGUUAUCCGGAUUUAUUGGGGUUAAAGGGAGCGUAGGCCGCAUGUCAAGCGUGCUGUGAAAUGUCCGGGCUCAACCCGGGCCUUGCAGCGCGAACUGGCGUGCUUGAGUCCGCGGAAGGCAGGCGGAAUUCGUGGUGUAGCGGUGAAAUGCUUAGAUAUGACGAAGAACCCCGAUUGCGAAGGCAGCUUGCUGCAGCGGAACUGACGCUGAUGCUCGAAAGCGCGGGUAUCGAACAGGAUUAGAUACCCUUGUAGUC